UCCACUAUUUAGUGCAAAGGCUCCUGGGA
This 29-nucleotide non-coding RNA is filed under the name Homo sapiens (human). The record is from RNAcentral. Lineage: Eukaryota; Metazoa; Chordata; Mammalia; Primates; Hominidae.